GUGCUCAUUUGGGCAGCACAUGUACAAAAAUUAGAAUAAUCUAGAGAAGACCAGCAUGGCCCCUGCUCAAUGAUGACAUGCAAGUUCAUAAAGUGAUCCAUAUUAAA
This is a small nuclear RNA of Suricata suricatta (meerkat), 107 nucleotides long. Lineage: Eukaryota; Metazoa; Chordata; Mammalia; Carnivora; Herpestidae. The record is from Ensembl.